UACGGGGGGGGCAAGCGUUGUUCGGAAUUACUGGGCGUAAAGCGCACGUAGGCGGAUUGUUAAGUCAGGGGUGAAAUCCUGGAGCUCAACUCCAGAACUGCCUUUGAUACUGGCGAUCUUGAGUCCGGGAGAGGUGAGUGGAACUGCGAGUGUAGAGGUGAAAUUCGUAGAUAUUCGCAAGAACACCAGUGGCGAAGGCGGCUCACUGGCCCGGUACUGACGCUGAGGCACGAAAGCGUGGGGAGCAAACAGG
RNAcentral lists this ribosomal RNA (253 nucleotides) under uncultured bacterium. RNAcentral describes it as "partial 16S ribosomal RNA". It matches the Rfam family "Bacterial small subunit ribosomal RNA", at positions 524 to 776 of the family's 1533-position model. The record is from RNAcentral.